AAACAAUGGAGCUGAAUGUCAACAUUAAAGAUGGAGAAGAUUGACGCCCGUUUAAUCAUCUGCCAGAGAGUAGCCCCAAUCGUCCCGAGACCCAAGUAAUACAUUUGGAAGGAGGAGAGGGCGGGAGCAGAAGCAGAAGCAGAAGCUACCCCCUUCUCAUGUAACAGGGUAGGGCCAGCCCAAGGAUCCCGCAAUGCACGGACGGUGUUAGUGGGGGAACAGGAAGUUCCCGACAGGCGUGCACCAUUCUUCAGAAUAAAAAAAGCGCCAGAACUGUGCAGUCAAGAAGGUAUCUUUUGUGCCCGUUUCCUUUUAUUACUACAGGUAUGAGGCCGGUAACAUCAACAGUAAGAAUAAACCCAGCCCU
Long non-coding RNA from Salvelinus namaycush (lake trout), 367 nucleotides. RefSeq lists it as uncharacterized. The transcript has 3 exons. The record is from RefSeq and is a predicted model, not a curated record. Lineage: Eukaryota; Metazoa; Chordata; Actinopteri; Salmoniformes; Salmonidae.